RNAcentral lists this non-coding RNA (30 nucleotides) under Rattus norvegicus (Norway rat). The record is from RNAcentral. Lineage: Eukaryota; Metazoa; Chordata; Mammalia; Rodentia; Muridae.
UUCAGUUCUUGUUUCCAGGCUCCUGCAUUC